Non-coding RNA from Danio rerio (zebrafish), 729 nucleotides. NCBI's taxonomy places the organism in Eukaryota, Metazoa, Chordata, Actinopteri, Cypriniformes, Danionidae. The record is from Ensembl.
CAAGUACACCCGUCUGCAGCCCGCAGAUCGGGGCGGGGCUGAAUACGAGGCGGAGCUGAAUAUGCAGCCCCGCCCAUAAAUGGGCGGAACUAAACACUCCGCCUACAAAUCUUUCAUUGGUUCACGGAAACAGACGUUGAUGUAAUGUAUGCUUUCGAUUUCGGUUUUCAUCUCUGCAUGAUGCCGCCUGAGAUCCUGCAGUGGAUCCUACUGAGAGUUGUCACACAGGAUGGUGAUGGGACAUUUCUGCAACUCUCACUGACAUCCAGGACCUUCUGAGCCAUUGUCAUUCAUUCAUUUUCUUGUCGGUUUUGUCCCUUUAUUAAUCCGGAGUCACAACAGCAUAAUGGACCGCCAACUUAUCCAGCAGGUUUUUACGCAGCGGAUGCCCUUCCAGCCGCAACCCAUCUCUGGGAAACAUCCACACACACAUUCACACACACACUAAUACACUACAGACAAUUUAGCCUACCCAAUUCACCUGUACCACAUGUCUUUGGACUGUGGGGGAAACCGGAAAACCUGGAGAAAACCCACGCGAAGGCAGGGAGAACAUGCAAACUCCACACAGAAACGCCAAUUGAGCCGAGGUUCGAAUCAGCGACCCAGCAACGUUCUUGCUGUGAGGUGACAGCACUACCUACUGCGCCACUGCCUCGCCGAGCCAUUGUCAGUAAUCCAAAAUUCAAGAAGCAGGCUGUGUGUGUGUGUGUGUGUGUGUGUGUCUGU